UACGGAGGGUGCAAGCGUUGUUCGGAAUCACUGGGCGUAAAGCGCGUGUAGGCGGUCCGCUAAGUCUGACGUGAAAGCCCGGGGCUCACCCCCGGAAGUGCAUUGGAAACUGACGGACUCGAGUCCCGGAGAGGAGAGUGGAAUUCCUGGUGUAGCGGUGAAAUGCGUAGAUACCAUCAAGAACACCGAUUGCGAAGG
Molecule: ribosomal RNA, 198 nt
Filed under: uncultured prokaryote
Description: partial 16S ribosomal RNA
Rfam family: Bacterial small subunit ribosomal RNA
Source: RNAcentral